CUACGGGAUGCAGCAGUGGGGAAUAUUGCACAAUGGGCGCAAGCCUGAUGCAGCCAUGCCGCGUGUAUGAAGAAGGCCUUCGGGUUGUAAAGUACUUUCAGCGGGGAGGAAGGGAGUAAAGUUAAUACCUUUGCUCAUUGACGUUACCUGCAGAAGAAGCACCGGCUAACUCCGUGCCAGCAGCCGCGGUAAUACGGAGGGUGCAAGCGUUAAUCGGAAUUACUGGGCGUAAAGCGACGCAGGCGGUUUGUUAAGUCAGAUGUGAAAUCCCCGGGCUCAACCUGGGAACUGCAUCUGAUACUGGCAAGCUUGAGUCUCGUAGAGGGGGGUAGAAUUCCAGGUGUAGCGGUGAAAUGCGUAGAGAUCUGGAGGAAUACCGGUGGCGAAGGCGGCCCCCUGGACGAAGACUGACGCUCAGGUGCGAAAGCGUGGGGAGCAAACAGGAUUAGAUACCCGUGUAGUC
This 463-nucleotide ribosomal RNA is filed under the name uncultured bacterium. RNAcentral's name for it is "partial 16S ribosomal RNA". It matches the Rfam family "Bacterial small subunit ribosomal RNA", at positions 339 to 795 of the family's 1533-position model. The record is from RNAcentral.